This 90-nucleotide transfer RNA is filed under the name Alphaproteobacteria bacterium. RNAcentral's name for it is "tRNA-Ser". It matches the Rfam family "tRNA". Rfam says of the family: Transfer RNA (tRNA) molecules are approximately 80 nucleotides in length. Their secondary structure includes four short double-helical elements and three loops (D, anti-codon, and T loops). RNAcentral also lists the same sequence under 1 other name. The record is from RNAcentral. Lineage: Bacteria; Pseudomonadati; Pseudomonadota; Alphaproteobacteria.
GGACAGGUGGCCGAGCGGUUUAAGGCACUGGUCUUGAAAACCAGCGUGCGGGAAACCGUACCGUGGGUUCGAAUCCCACCCUGUCCGCCA